GGAGUCGCUAUGCCGGACAUCUUGUACCGCGGGCUCGCCGGAACGCUGAUCGGCAGUGUCAUCGGCUCCAUACCGAAGUCGAGGUCAUCCUCCUCGCCAGGCUCACCGCCAGCGUAGAAUGCAUCAGGAUACGCACGGCGGAGCGCAAGCUGGCGCGCCUUCGAGUACUCAAUUCCGAGGUUCUUCCAGUCGAGGAGCGGCGAGAGGCGCUC
RNAcentral lists this unclassified non-coding RNA (212 nucleotides) under Hevea brasiliensis (rubber tree). The record is from RNAcentral. Lineage: Eukaryota; Viridiplantae; Streptophyta; Magnoliopsida; Malpighiales; Euphorbiaceae.